Molecule: ribosomal RNA, 253 nt
Filed under: uncultured bacterium
Lineage: Bacteria
Description: partial 16S ribosomal RNA
Rfam family: Bacterial small subunit ribosomal RNA
Source: RNAcentral
UACAGAGGGUGCGAGCGUUAAUCGGAAUUACUGGGCGUAAAGCGUGCGUAGCCGGUUAUUUAAGUCGGAUGUGAAAGCCCCGGGCUCAACCUGGGAAUUGCAUUCGAGACUGAAUAGCUAGGGUGCGGUAGAGGGAAGCGGAAUUUCCGGUGUAGCGGUGAAAUGCGUAGAUAUCGAGAGGAACACCUGCGGCGAAGGCGGGUUGCUGGGCCGACACUGACGCUGAUGCGCGAAAGCCAGGGGAGCGAACGGG